UACAGAGGUGGCGAGCGUUGUUCGGAUUUACUGGGCGUAAAGGGUGCGUAGGCGGUUAUGUAUGUCGGAUGUGAAAUCUCGAGGCUCAACUUCGAAAUUGCAUCCGAAACUGCAUAACUUGAGUGCAGGAUGGGAGAGCGGAAUUCUUGGUGUAGCGGUGAAAUGCGUUGAUAUCAAGAAGAACACCGGCGGCGAAGGCGGCUCUCUGGAAUGUUACUGACGCUGAGGCACGAAAGCUGGGGGAGCAAACAGG
This 253-nucleotide ribosomal RNA is filed under the name uncultured bacterium. Its description in RNAcentral is "partial 16S ribosomal RNA". It matches the Rfam family "Bacterial small subunit ribosomal RNA", at positions 524 to 776 of the family's 1533-position model. The record is from RNAcentral.